Molecule: unclassified non-coding RNA, 204 nt
Filed under: uncultured Russula
Lineage: Eukaryota; Fungi; Basidiomycota; Agaricomycetes; Russulales; Russulaceae
Description: sequence contains ITS1
Source: RNAcentral
CAGUACAAUGGAGAUGCCCCAGGGCUGUCGCUGACCUUUGUGGGUCGUGCACGCCCAAAGUGCUCUCUCUCACAUCCAUCUCACCCCUUUGUGCAUCACCGCGUGGGCCCCCCUUAUUGGGAUCGGUUCACGUUUUUACACAGACACCAAUUUUUAAAAGCAUGUGUAGAAUGUCUUACUUUUUGCGAUCACACGCAAUCAAUA